ACAGCAGUAGCCACGGGAAUACGAAGGGUGCAAGCGUUACUCGGAAUUACUGGGCGUAAAGCGUGCGUAGGUGGUGGUUUAAGUCCGUUGUGAAAGCCCUGGGCUCAACCUGGGAAUUGCAGUGGAUACUGGGUCACUAGAGUGUGGUAGAGGAUAGUGGAAUUUCCGGUGUAGCAGUGAAAUGCGUAGAGAUCGGAAGGAACAUCUGUGGCGAAGGCGACUAUCUGGGCCAACACUGACACUGAGGCACGAAAGCGUGGGGAGCAAACAGGAUUAGAUACCCCAGUAGUCCCUGUCUCUUAUAA
RNAcentral lists this ribosomal RNA (305 nucleotides) under uncultured bacterium. RNAcentral describes it as "partial 16S ribosomal RNA". It matches the Rfam family "Bacterial small subunit ribosomal RNA", at positions 505 to 809 of the family's 1533-position model. The record is from RNAcentral.